This 403-nucleotide ribosomal RNA is filed under the name uncultured bacterium. Its description in RNAcentral is "bacterial SSU rRNA". It matches the Rfam family "Bacterial small subunit ribosomal RNA", at positions 28 to 433 of the family's 1533-position model. The record is from RNAcentral.
GAUGAACGCUAGCGGCAGGCUUAACACAUGCAAGUCGAGGGGUAUUGGUUUUCGGACCAAGAGACCGGCGCACGGGUGCGUAACGCGUAUGCAAUCUACCUUUUGCAGAGGGAUAGCCCCAGAGAAAUUUGGAUUAAUACCUCAUAGUAUAGUACUUUGGCAUCAAGGAACUAUUAAAGUCACAACGGCAAAGAUGAGCAUGCGUCCCAUUAGCUAGUUGGUAAGGUAACGGCUUACCAAGGCUACGAUGGGUAGGGGUUCUGAGAGGGAGAUCCCCCANACUGGUACUGAGACACGGACCAGACUCCUACGGGAGGCAGCAGUGAGGAAUAUUGGACAAUGGGCGCAAGCCUGAUCCAGCCAUGCCGCGUGCAGGAUGACGGUCCUAUGGAUUGUAAACUGC